RNAcentral lists this ribosomal RNA (253 nucleotides) under uncultured bacterium. RNAcentral describes it as "partial 16S ribosomal RNA". It matches the Rfam family "Bacterial small subunit ribosomal RNA", at positions 524 to 776 of the family's 1533-position model. The record is from RNAcentral.
UACGUAGGGGGCAAGCGUUGUCCGGAUUUAUUGGGCGUAAAGAGCGUGUAGGCGGCUUCACAGGUCUGCUGUGAAAACUCGAGGCUCAACCUCGAGCUGUCGGUGGAAACCGUGGGGCUAGAGUCCGGAAGAGGAGAGUGGAAUUUCCGGUGGAGCGGUGAAAUGCGUAGAGAUCGGAAAGAACACCAACGGCGAAAGCACUCUGCUGGGCCGACACUGACACUGAGAGACGAAAGCUAGGGGAGCGAAUGGG